RNAcentral lists this ribosomal RNA (443 nucleotides) under uncultured bacterium. Its description in RNAcentral is "partial 16S ribosomal RNA". It matches the Rfam family "Bacterial small subunit ribosomal RNA", at positions 338 to 795 of the family's 1533-position model. The record is from RNAcentral.
CCUACGGGUGGCAGCAGUGGGGAAUAUUGGGCAAUGGAGGAAACUCUGACCCAGCAAUGCCGCGUGAAUGAAGAAGGUCUUCGGAUUGUAAAGUUCUUUAGUCAGGGAAGAAUAAAAUGACGGUACCUGAAGAAUAAGCUCCGGCUAACUACGUGCCAGCAGCCGCGGUAAUACGUAGGGAGCAGGCGUUGUUCGGAAUGACUGGCGUAAAGGGUGCGUAGGCGGUUAAACGAGUUAGAAGUGAAAUACCCAGGGGUUAAUUCGGGUGCUGGUUUCAAAACCGGAAUACUUGAGUGCAGGAGAGGUUAGUGGAAUUCCUAGUGUAGCGGUGGAAUGCGUAGAUAUUAGGCGGAACACCAGAGGCGAAGGCGGCUAACUGGACUGCAACUGACGCUGAGGCACGAAAGUGUGGGGAGCAAACAGGAUUAGAUACCCCUGUAGUC